This 82-nucleotide ribosomal RNA is filed under the name Vibrio parahaemolyticus. Its description in RNAcentral is "partial 16S ribosomal RNA". It matches the Rfam family "Bacterial small subunit ribosomal RNA", at positions 1 to 79 of the family's 1533-position model. The record is from RNAcentral. Lineage: Bacteria; Pseudomonadati; Pseudomonadota; Gammaproteobacteria; Vibrionales; Vibrionaceae.
CUUAAAUUGAAGAGUUUGAUCAUGGCUCAGAUUGAACGCUGGCGGCAGGCCUAACACAUGCAAGUCGAGCGGAAACGAGUUA